Molecule: ribosomal RNA, 460 nt
Filed under: uncultured bacterium
Lineage: Bacteria
Description: partial 16S ribosomal RNA
Rfam family: Bacterial small subunit ribosomal RNA
Source: RNAcentral
CCUACGGGUGGCAGCAGUGAGGAAUAUUGGUCAAUGGACGAAAGUCUGAACCAGCCAAGUCGCGUGAAGGAUGACUGCCCUGUGGGUUGUAAACUUCUUUUAUAUGGGAAUAAAACGUUCCACGUGUGGGGUUUUGUAUGUACCAUAUGAAUAAGGAUCGGCUAACUCCGUUCCAGGAGCCGCGGUAAUAAGGAGGAUCCGAGCUUUAUCCGGAUUUAUUGGGUUUAAAGGGAUCGUAGGUGGAUUGUUAAGUCAGUUGUGAAAGUGUGCGGCUCAACCGUAAAAUUGCAGUUGAAACUGGGAGUCUUGAGUACAGGAGAGGUGGGCGGAAUGCGUGGUGUAGCGGUGAAAUGCUUAGAUAUCACGAAGAACUCCGAUUGCGAAGGCAGUUCACUGGACUGCAACUGACACUGAGGCUCGAAAGUGUGGGUAUCAAACAGGAUUAGAUACCCGAGUAGUC